This 639-nucleotide ribosomal RNA is filed under the name bacterium. RNAcentral's name for it is "bacterial SSU rRNA". It matches the Rfam family "Bacterial small subunit ribosomal RNA", at positions 55 to 695 of the family's 1533-position model. The record is from RNAcentral.
AUGCAGCCGAGCGGUAGAGAUCUUUCGGGAUCUUGAGAGCGGCGUACGGGUGCGGAACACGUGUGCAACCUGCCUUUAUCUGGGGGAUAGCCUUUCGAAAGGAAGAUUAAUACCCCAUAAUAUACUGAAUGGCAUCAUUCUGUAUUGAAAACUCCGGUGGAUAGAGAUGGGCACGCGCAAGAUUAGAUAGUUGGUGAGGUAACGGCUCACCAAGUCUACGAUCUUUAGGGGGCCUGAGAGGGUGAUCCCCCACACUGGUACUGAGACACGGACCAGACUCCUACGGGAGGCAGCAGUGAGGAAUAUUGGACAAUGGGUGAGAGCCUGAUCCAGCCAUCCCGCGUGAAGGACGACGGCCCUAUGGGUUGUAAACUUCUUUUGUAUAGGGAUAAACCUACCCUCGUGAGGGUAGCUGAAGGUACUAUACGAAUAAGCACCGGCUAACUCCGUGCCAGCAGCCGCGGUAAUACGGAGGGUGCAAGCGUUAUCCGGAUUUAUUGGGUUUAAAGGGUCCGUAGGCGGAUCUGUAAGUCAGUGGUGAAAUCUCACAGCUUAACUGUGAAACUGCCAUUGAUACUGCAGGUCUUGAGUGUUGUUGAAGUAGCUGGAAUAAGUAGUGUAGCGGUGAAAUGCGUAGAA